RNAcentral lists this ribosomal RNA (491 nucleotides) under uncultured bacterium. RNAcentral describes it as "partial 16S ribosomal RNA". It matches the Rfam family "Bacterial small subunit ribosomal RNA", at positions 29 to 506 of the family's 1533-position model. The record is from RNAcentral.
AGUGAACGCUGGCGGCAUGCCUAACACAUGCAAGUCGAACGGCAGCACAGUAAGCGCUUGCUCUUACGGGUGGCGAGUGGCGGACGGGUGACGAAUGCAUCGGAUUCUUCUUUUUCGUGGGUGAUAACGUAGGGAAACUUCUGCUAAUACCGCAUAUGACCUACGGGUGAAAGCAAGGGAUAUUCGCACCUUUCGCGAUUGAAUUAGCCGAUGUCGGAUGAGCUAGUUGGAGGGGUAAAGGCCCACCAAGCCGACGAUCCGUAGCUGAUCUGAGAGGAUGAUCGGCAAACCUGGAAAUGAGAACCGGUCCAGCACCCGACGGGAGGCACAAGAGGGAAAUUUUCGACAAGGGGCGGAAGCCUGCGCCAGCCAUACGGCGUGGGUGAAGAAGGCCUUCGGGUGGUAAAGCCUGUUUGUUGGGAAAGAAAAGCAGCAGGUUAAUACCCCGCUGUUCUGAGGGUACCCAAAGAAUAGGCACGGGUAACUUCCGU